Molecule: ribosomal RNA, 274 nt
Filed under: uncultured bacterium
Lineage: Bacteria
Description: partial 16S ribosomal RNA
Rfam family: Bacterial small subunit ribosomal RNA
Source: RNAcentral
AUACGGAGGGAGCAAGCGUUAUUCGGAAUCACUGGGCGUAAAGGACGCGUAGGCGGGUUUGUAAGUCAGGUGUGAAAUCCUACAGCGCAACUGUAGAACUGCACUUGAAACUACAGACCUAGAGUAUGGAAGGGGCAGAUGGAAUUAGUGGUGUAGGGGUAAAAUCCGUAGAUAUCACUAGGAAUACCGAAAGCGAAGGCGAUCUGCUGGGACAUUACUGACGCUGAGGCGUGAAAGCGUGGGGAGCAAACAGGAUUAGAUACCCCAGUAGUCC